Molecule: RNA transcript, 2946 nt
Organism: Hevea brasiliensis (rubber tree)
Lineage: Eukaryota; Viridiplantae; Streptophyta; Magnoliopsida; Malpighiales; Euphorbiaceae
Exons: 5
Source: RefSeq, a predicted model, not a curated record
AUUCAUCGGUUUUGUCAGCGGAGCUCCUGAUAAGGCAAAACUUUCCGGUGUCGCAGGGUGCUCAACACUGGGCUAAGUGGAAUAAAUCCCAGUCCAUUUGGAAUUUGGAUCACAGAUCUGUCCGUCCCUAAUCAAAACCGUAUACGUCUGCCAUUGCGAUCUGUUAGCUUCAUUAUGCGCGAUGUGGACGGGAAUCAUUUUUCUCCUUUUCUAGUAGCGGAAUACCAAAGCACAGGAGCUGGAGGCCCGGAGCUCAAAGCAAGCCCUUGAAAAACCUAAGCUCUUGUCGUUGAUCAGACAAGUUUAAGAAAAGACAUUAUCAGAUAUAUCAAAUGACGGCAGUUGUGUCACGGUUGAUCCAUUCAAGAUCAUCCCUCUCCAGGCUAUGGUAUUAUGAUUGAAUGUGGCGAAUAUCGUAGAAAUUAGAUUUUGGGUGCGCAUUAGCGAUGGCAAAAUUGAGGGAAAUUGAAGUGAAACUGGAUUUUCUACGGUUUUGAUCUUUUGCAUUUUGGUUAUGAGAGAUUGAAGUUUGUAGUGUCACCAAGUGCGGGGAUGUGAAGUUCUCUGAGACUUUUCUUUAUUUUUCCAAAACGGUACAAUAGCUGCAUCCAGGAAUGCGAGGUUUCUCUCAACUGAUUCUGGUAAGGUUGAUGAACGCUUCAAAGUCGAGGAAGCAGAGACAGUAGAUGUCCCUCCACCACCAACGGAAAAGGUAUGGUGCACUGAGAAUUGUAUACUAUCACUUUUGGUCCUUUCGAUAUCUUUCGCUGCUUUUGAACAUUUGACCUAUAUACCAUUCAAUUUAGUUGCUUGUGUUGGGUAGAAAUGGUUUUGUUGGCUCUCAUAUUUGUAGAGAAGCUUUGGAUCGUGGUUUAUCUGUUGCUAGCCUUAGCAGGUAUUAUGCUUUCCAACAGUUACAAUUCAUCUGUUGCCUUUUAUUGUCAUUGACGUUUUUUCAGAAUUCAUGCCUGUUGAUGCUAAAGUGUUAUUGGAUGAUGCUCACCAGUGAAAAUGCCUUGUUUUUAUUGCAAUGGGGUCCUUAAUAAUACCUCUGAAGCCUCUUCUGAGGAACUUUGUUGCUUCUGGCUUCUUCAUUAAGAUUCAUUGGGACUGUUCAAUUAUAUACACUUUCUUAUCUCUCCUAUUUUUCUUGAUCUGUUUGUUGACAAUGCUACAAAAGCUACCUAGAGAAAAACUACUAGCUGCUUACAGUAUUCAAUUUUGGAAUUUAAAGUUAUGUUACAUUAUUGGGUUUUGGAGAUGUUUGUUGUACUUGAGCAGUGUUGGCCUCUACUUCAUGAUACAAAGAAGUGCAUAACAUCUUUUCUUUCUUGGUUCUUCAAUAUUAAUCUUUUUUUUCCCCUUCCUUUCAGAUCUGGUAGGUCAUCAAUACGUGAUUCCUGGGCUAAUGCUGUAACCUGGCUUCAAGGAGAUCUUUCACCUAAUUCAUGGAAGGAAGCUCUUAAUGGGGUUUCUGCCAUUGUAUGUUACCUCUUACAAUUACAAUAGUUUAGCUUAUCCACCAGGAGAGUCAAUCCAAAAGUUUUAGCGUCCAUCUGCCUACGUAACAACCAAUUUUUUCUGUACAGGAUUUUAUUAUAAUAUAUUUGUUAUUUUUUAAUGACUCGACUCGACUCGACUCAACUCAACUCAACUCAACUAAGCUUUUAUCCAAAAAAUUUGGGGUCGGCUAUAUGGAUUUAUUUUCCCCACUCUAAACGAUUUUGGGUUAAAUCCUCAGAAAUGUAUAAUGCUUCUAGAUCAUGUUGUACUACUCUCCUCCAAAUCAAUUUAGGUCUACCCAUUUUUUCUCUAACCUAAUGUAUUGUACUUGUCUAACUGGAGCCUCCGUAUGCCUACGCUUCACAUGACCAAACCACCUUAAUCUCCAUUCUCUCAAUUUUUCCUCAAUUGGCACCACUCAUACCUUUUCUCUAAUACUCUCAUUGCGGACUUUAUCUAGUCUUAUUUUUUAAUGACUAUCUGGUCUAAUUGCUAAAUUAAAUUGCCUUUCUAGAUUUCCUGUGUUGGUGGUUUUGGCUCACACUCUUAUAUGUAUAAGAUUAAUGGAAGAGCAAACAUCAAUGCAAUAAGAUCUGCUUCAGAACAAGGUAUGGAUAUUAGGUAGCUGAAGUUUUUAUUGCCAUUCUACCCUUCUGUUGAGUCAAAGCAGCUAUAUGUGGUACAAAAUAAAAGCCCAAGAAGCAUAAGACUAACGACAUGACUUUAAUAGGAAAUCAUAUUUUAUUUGAAGUUGACCCACUCAUUGAUAUUGGAGAUUUGUAAAAUGGAUCCUUACUUGAUAAAAGCAAUUCCAUCUGAAGCUUGAUGUCAACUAUAAAGUUAUCCUAUAACGCAUUGCUCAUAGAAAACUCUUGGUUAAGGGCAUGCUUGGAGGCAUCAUGUAGGGCUACAGCUGUGUUGGUAUUUUCCUUUGGGGAAAUUGUGCAAUUCCAAGUGCUAUGUUUUUUACAUGAUUCUUUCUGCUUCUUACAUGCUUCUUUCCUUGUCCACCUUAGGGAUGCUGGAUGCAUACUAUUUUGCUACUGCAUCAUUUUAUGGUUUUUGCUACAUCUUCCUUGCGUCUGAUCCUUACCAAUUAAUUGUUAUGGACAAUCCAACGUAGACUAUUGGCAAUUCAAGAGAUGUUGGCAGUCCCUUUUUUCUCGUAGUAAUAGAUUUCUAGAUGCAUGCCUGUAUCAAUUUCUUUUAAUUCUCGCUUGCACUUACUGUAUUUGCUUGGAUGAUGGGCUUGACAUUUUUGUCUGUAGGUGUAAAAAGAUUUGUUUAUAUAUCUGCUGCUGACUUUGGUUUGGCCAACUACUUGCUGCAAGGAUAUUAUGAGGGAAAGUCUCAUGGGAAAUUGUUACUUUUCCUCUUUGAAGUAGAGAGCUGCUGAAACAGAGUUACUGACAAAGUUUCCUUACGGAGGAGUGAUUCUCAGGC